ACAAACUUGGUCAUUUAGAGGAAGUAAAAGUCGUAACAAGGUCUCCGUAGGUGAACCUGCGGAGGGAUCAUUACCGAGUGAGGGCCCGAGGGCCCGACCUCCAACCCUUUGUUGACCAACACCGUUGCCUCGGGGGUGACCCGGCCUCCGCGCCGGGGCCCUCGGUGGACCACUUCAACUCUGCAUCCGUACGUCAGAGUACUUUGCAAAUCAAUCAAAACUUUCAACAACGGAUCUCUUGGUUCUGGCAUCGAUGAAGAACGCAGC
Molecule: unclassified non-coding RNA, 267 nt
Filed under: uncultured fungus
Lineage: Eukaryota; Fungi
Description: partial contains small subunit ribosomal RNA, internal transcribed spacer 1, and 5.8S ribosomal RNA
Rfam family: Eukaryotic small subunit ribosomal RNA (bases 1-73)
Source: RNAcentral